RNAcentral lists this ribosomal RNA (253 nucleotides) under uncultured bacterium. Its description in RNAcentral is "partial 16S ribosomal RNA". It matches the Rfam family "Bacterial small subunit ribosomal RNA", at positions 524 to 776 of the family's 1533-position model. The record is from RNAcentral.
UACGUAGGGUGCAAGCGUUAAUCGGAAUUACUGGGCGUAAAGCGUGCGCAGGCGGUUUCGUAAGUCUGUCGUGAAAUCCCCGGGCUUAACCUGGGAAUGGCGAUGGGGACUGCGAGGCUAGAGUUUGGCAGAGGGGGGUAGAAUUCCACGUGUAGCAGUGAAAUGCGUAGAGAUGUGGAGGAACACCGAUGGCGAAGGCAGCCCCCUGGGUCAAAACUGACGCUCAUGCACGAAAGCGUGGGGAGCAAACAGG